Molecule: long non-coding RNA, 464 nt
Organism: Toxotes jaculatrix (banded archerfish)
Lineage: Eukaryota; Metazoa; Chordata; Actinopteri; Toxotidae
Exons: 4
Source: RefSeq, a predicted model, not a curated record
AAGCAUGGUGACGUAGCAAGCCAUAUAAAUACGAUGUCGCUAGAAUAUGACGUUCUUCGUGGAGACGGUUGCUUAGCGGUCGCCUUCCCUUCUCGCCAUGAGAGCCAAGUGGAGAAAGAAGCGCAUGCGCAGACUGAAGCGCAAAAGGAGAAAGAUGAGGCAGAGGUCCAAGUAAACUGUCCUGUCCACCAUGGCUGUGACAUCAGAUGUUGCCAACUCCAAGACCGGUGAGCACAUCUGGAGAUCCAGGACCCCUCCCAGCCAAGUCUGAGGCCAGUGCCAUCCGUAUCAACCUGAGGCAGUGGAGCUGCAGCAGCAGCUGAUUGAUGCUGGAGACCUCAUUCAAAACCUGCUGGAUGUCGGGCUUUUCCUCUGGGACAUUCUGGACUCUUGGUUCUUAAUUCCUUAACUUUUGUCAUUUCUUUUUGUUAAUACUGUGAUUAAAGGUUUUGGUUUAAAAAAAA